UGCCAACCGUUGGGGUGCCCUGAUCAAAGGGCUGAGAGGCGUGAAUGCGUUAACCCAUCGAACCUGAUCCGGGCAAUGCCGGCGUAGGGAACGGUCUAAUCACUCAG
RNAcentral lists this non-coding RNA (107 nucleotides) under Ruegeria sp. Its description in RNAcentral is "TPP sequence". It matches the Rfam family "TPP riboswitch aptamer (THI element)". Rfam says of the family: Vitamin B(1) in its active form thiamin pyrophosphate (TPP) is an essential coenzyme that is synthesised by coupling of pyrimidine and thiazole moieties in bacteria. The previously detected thiamin-regulatory element, thi box was extended, resulting in a new, highly conserved RNA secondary structure, the THI element, which is widely distributed in eubacteria and also occurs in some archaea. The record is from RNAcentral. Lineage: Bacteria; Pseudomonadati; Pseudomonadota; Alphaproteobacteria; Rhodobacterales; Roseobacteraceae.